This 253-nucleotide ribosomal RNA is filed under the name uncultured bacterium. Its description in RNAcentral is "partial 16S ribosomal RNA". It matches the Rfam family "Bacterial small subunit ribosomal RNA", at positions 524 to 776 of the family's 1533-position model. The record is from RNAcentral.
UACAGAGGUCCCAAGCGUUGUUCGGAUUCACUGGGCGUAAAGGGCGUGUAGGUGGCUUUUCAAGUCCGGUGUGAAAUCCCACGGCUCAACCGUGGAACUGCAUUGGAAACUGGAUGGCUCGAGGGUUGGAGGGGGUCGCGGAAUUCCCGGUGUAGAGGUGAAAUUCGUAGAUAUCGGGAGGAACACCAGUGGCGAAGGCGGCGACCUGGCCAAUCACUGACACUGAGACGCGAAAGCGUGGGGAGCAAACAGG